RNAcentral lists this small RNA (28 nucleotides) under Bombyx mori (domestic silkworm). Its description in RNAcentral is "ovarian small RNA-12266". The record is from RNAcentral. Lineage: Eukaryota; Metazoa; Arthropoda; Insecta; Lepidoptera; Bombycidae.
AGUCAAAACAGCCUACACUCUUUAAGGU